GGACUGUAGCAUUUAUCCAGCAGAUGGCAGUGACUGCAUUCUGGUCUGGAUUACUGAACCCACUGUGUUUAUUUUUUCAUCUCAACCUCAGUGGUUUUAGUGUGAUGUUUUACACAAACGCUUCUCUUAAGAGGUGUUUAAAAAAAAAUAAAAAAUAAAAAAUAAAAAAAAAUAAAAAAACACUCGAGUAGUCCGAGCUUUAAUUGAUCCGACAUUUUAUGAACUCGGAUGAUGUAAAUCAGCAGCAGGAAUCAACAUGCCACUGCCUUCGACUUAAUGAAGUCUUAAAAGUUUAAACUUUUAAAAGAUGUAAGCGUACUUUUGUUUGUUUGUUUUGAGAAGUCUUCAACUACAGAACAAGCCAAACUGCUGAAAUACACGGACAGAUAGAGAGGAACACAGGAGUUUACUGGACCAAUUAAGAAUCAGCACUGAUGGCUACAGCGAAUGCAAGGAAACUAGGUGGG
Molecule: long non-coding RNA, 467 nt
Organism: Ictalurus punctatus (channel catfish)
Lineage: Eukaryota; Metazoa; Chordata; Actinopteri; Siluriformes; Ictaluridae
Source: Ensembl